Molecule: non-coding RNA, 330 nt
Organism: Peromyscus maniculatus bairdii (prairie deer mouse)
Lineage: Eukaryota; Metazoa; Chordata; Mammalia; Rodentia; Cricetidae
Source: RefSeq, a predicted model, not a curated record
AUUCCAAAGGUCUGGGCGGCUCCUGCCCUCAGCCUGUUCCCCGGCUGGCGAGUACCUAAACCCGCCUGCAAAGUUCCAUAUAACCAGUCCAUUCCCGAAAAGGGGAACAGCUAGUCCGGUCUCAGCUCCCUAGCUUAGCCCCGAGACCAGUGAAAAACCGCUGCGAGUGAGGUAUCCGCACCCGGCUCCCGGCCAUCCCGCCAUCUGCCUCCAGCUGCCGCCAGCCAAGGUCGCCAGCAGGCCCUGCUUUGGAGCUGUACCAGCACCACCUGCUGGUUGAAAAGCGCUACUACACCCCCCAUACCACAGAAAGAAUGAUACUAUAAGAGC